AUUAAUUAAGCAUUUAUUAAGGAUCUACUGUGUACCAGGUUAUGUUCAGAAUGAAUUCCCUCUCCAUCUCCAUUUCUUGGACAUCCUUAUCUUCUUUCAAGACUCAAUUCAGAUGCCACCUCUUCCAUGAAGCCUUCUCUGAUGCUCUUCUUUGUCAAAUGACGAUCUGGCCACCCUGCUGUCCUGCUCAAAGAAACCUUUUGUGACUCUCGAUUAUGUGCAGACACUUCCACUUAUAAUUGAGGCAGUCAAAGGCACACAACUUCACCCUUUCAGCUUUAUGUCCUAUUAUACUCUUUCAAGCCUCUCUAGGCCCCAAACAAUGCUGCUGUUUUUGUUCCUCAAACACACUUUUUUUUGUUCUCUUGCUGCCAAGUCCUUGAUCAGGCUAUUCCCUAGGGCUAGAAUGUGUUGUCUCCAGGUUUGUCAGCUGAAUUACUACCUAUCCUUUAAAACUCAAAUUAAA
Molecule: non-coding RNA, 466 nt
Organism: Phascolarctos cinereus (koala)
Lineage: Eukaryota; Metazoa; Chordata; Mammalia; Diprotodontia; Phascolarctidae
Source: RefSeq, a predicted model, not a curated record